RNAcentral lists this ribosomal RNA (445 nucleotides) under uncultured bacterium. RNAcentral describes it as "SSU rRNA". It matches the Rfam family "Bacterial small subunit ribosomal RNA", at positions 26 to 518 of the family's 1533-position model. The record is from RNAcentral.
AGAGCGAACGCUGGCGGCAGGCCUAACACAUGCAAGUCGAGCGCCCAGCAAUGGGAGCGGCAGACGGGAUAGUAACACGUGGGAACGUACCUUUCAGUUCGGAACAACCCAGGGAAACUUGGGCUAAUACCGAAUACGCCCGUAAGGGGAAAGAUUUAUCGCUGAAAGAUCGGCCCGCGUCUGAUUAGCUAGUUGGUGGGGUAAUGGCCCACCAAGGCGACGAUCAGUAGCUGGUCUGAGAGGAUGAUCAGCAUCACUGGGACUGAGACACGGCCCAGACUCCUACGGGAGGCAGCAGUGGGGAAUAUUGGACAAUGGGCGCAAGCCUGAUCCAGCCAUGCCGCGUGGAUGAUGAAGGCCCUAGGGUUGUAAAGUCCUUUCGGCGGGGAAGAGUAAUGACGGUACCCGCGAGAAGAAGCCCGGCUAACUUCGUGUCAGCAGCCGC